AAUUUGUGACUCUGGGGGCAACCCGGAUCCAGCCAUCACGCCUGUGCGAUGAAGGCCUUCGGGUUGUAAUGCACUGUUGUCAGGGGAGAAAAGGCGCUGGUUAAUACCUGGCGCCCCUUACGGUACCUGCCGAAUAAGCACCGGCUAACUACGUGCCAUCUUCCGAGGUAAUACGUAGGGUGCAAGAGUUAAUAGGAAUUACUGGGCGUAAAGCGUGCGCAGGCGGUUCGGAAAGAAGGAUGAGAAAUCCCGGGGCUUAACCACGGGACUGCAUUAUUACCUGCCGGGCGAGAGUAUGUCAGAGGGGGGUAGAAUUCCACGUGUAGCAGUGAAAUGCGUAGAGGUGUGGAGGAAUACCGAUGGCGAAGGCAGCCCCCUGGGAUAAUACUGACGCUCAUGCACGAAAGCGUAGGGAGCAAAC
RNAcentral lists this ribosomal RNA (421 nucleotides) under uncultured bacterium. RNAcentral describes it as "partial 16S ribosomal RNA". It matches the Rfam family "Bacterial small subunit ribosomal RNA", at positions 359 to 773 of the family's 1533-position model. The record is from RNAcentral.